RNAcentral lists this ribosomal RNA (471 nucleotides) under Everettia klemmantanica. RNAcentral's name for it is "partial 16S ribosomal RNA". It matches the Rfam family "Bacterial large subunit ribosomal RNA", at positions 1796 to 2620 of the family's 2925-position model. The record is from RNAcentral. Lineage: Eukaryota; Metazoa; Mollusca; Gastropoda; Stylommatophora; Ariophantidae.
UCGCCUGUUUAACAAAAACAUAGCGUUAUGGAAUAAAUAUAAGGUUUUACCUGCCCAAUGAUGAAGUUUAAAUGGCCGCAGUACUUUGACUGUGCUAAGGUAGCAUAAUAAAUUGACUUUUAAUUAAGGUCUAGAAUGAAAGGAUAAAUGGACAAAUACUGUCUCUUAAAAAUUAGUAUUAAUUUUCUUAAAAGGUGAAAAUUCCUUUAAUUUAAUUAAAAAGACGAGAAGACCCUAGGAGUUUAAAUAUCAUUUUGUUGGGGCAACAUUAUAGCAAAUAACCUAUAAUAAAACAUUAAAUAUAACGAAGUAUUUAAAUUUUAAAUAAGCUACCCUAGGGAUAACAGCAUAAUUUGUUGAAAAAUAAGUUUGUGACCUCGAUGUUGGACUAGGGACUUUAAAUAUUAAAUAUAUUUAUUGAUUUGUUCUGUUCGAACAUAAAAGACCUACGUGAUCUGAGUUCAGACCGGA